GAAGGCAUUUCUGUGGAGCAAAUGGUAUUUCUUAGGCAGUUGCUCUCUUCUUUGAGUUCAUCCUUUAGUUCACUUUGAGAAUUGAGUAAUGUUUUUACUAAUUUACUUGUAUUUUAGCUGCAUUUGGUAAUUUCACUAAAAAUUCCUGUCAUUUUGGUAUGCGUUGCAUGUACAUUUACUUUUACUUUUCUGCAUUUAAGAUCAAUAGUGUACUUAAAAAUCGAACACGCUUUAUCGCUUUCG
RNAcentral lists this unclassified non-coding RNA (243 nucleotides) under Hevea brasiliensis (rubber tree). Lineage: Eukaryota; Viridiplantae; Streptophyta; Magnoliopsida; Malpighiales; Euphorbiaceae. The record is from RNAcentral.